RNAcentral lists this ribosomal RNA (239 nucleotides) under uncultured bacterium. Its description in RNAcentral is "partial 16S ribosomal RNA". It matches the Rfam family "Bacterial small subunit ribosomal RNA", at positions 91 to 334 of the family's 1533-position model. The record is from RNAcentral.
UCGAGCGGCGAACGGGUGAGUAACGCGUGGACAACCUGCCCUGAGGUGGGGGAUAACCAAGGGAAACUUUGGCUAAUACCGCAUGAUACCGAGAGGUCAAAGGGGGCUCGCAAGGGCUCUCGCCAUAGGAGGGGUCCGCGUCCGAUUAGCUAGUUGGUAGGGUAAUGGCCUACCAAGGCGACGAUCGGUAGCCGGCCUGAGAGGGUGAUCGGCCACACUGGAACUGAGACACGGUCCAG